AGUAACACGUGGAUAACCUACCUAUAAGACUGGGAUAACUUCGGGAAACCGGAGCUAAUACCGGAUAAUAUUAUGAACCGCAUGGUUCAAAAGUGAAAGACGGUCUUGCUGUCACUUAUAGAUGGAUCCGCGCUGCAUUAGCUAGUUGGUAAGGUAACGGCUUACCAAGGCAACGAUGCAUCGCCGACCUGAGAGGGUGAUCGGCCACACUGGAACUGAGACACGGUCCAG
This 231-nucleotide ribosomal RNA is filed under the name uncultured Staphylococcus sp. Its description in RNAcentral is "partial 16S ribosomal RNA". It matches the Rfam family "Bacterial small subunit ribosomal RNA", at positions 109 to 334 of the family's 1533-position model. The record is from RNAcentral. Lineage: Bacteria; Bacillati; Bacillota; Bacilli; Caryophanales; Staphylococcaceae.